This 425-nucleotide ribosomal RNA is filed under the name uncultured bacterium. Its description in RNAcentral is "partial 16S ribosomal RNA". It matches the Rfam family "Bacterial small subunit ribosomal RNA", at positions 354 to 796 of the family's 1533-position model. The record is from RNAcentral.
GUGGGGAAUCUUGCGCAAUGGGCGAAAGCCUGACGCAGCCAUGCCGCGUGAAUGAUGAAGGUCUUAGGAUUGUAAAAUUCUUUCACCGGGGACGAUAAUGACGGUACCCGGAGAAGAAGCCCCGGCUAACUUCGUGCCAGCAGCCGCGGUAAUACGAAGGGGGCUAGCGUUGCUCGGAAUUACUUGGCGUAAAGGGCGCGUAGGCGGACAGUUUAGUCAGAGGUGAAAGCCCAGGGCUCAACCUUGGAAUUGCCUUUGAUACUGGCUGUCUUGAGUACGGGAGAGGUGAGUGGAACUCCGAGUGUAGAGGUGAAAUUCGUAGAUAUUCGGAAGAACACCAGUGGCGAAGGCGACUCACUGGCCCGUUACUGACGCUGAGGCGCGAAUGCGUGGGGAGCAAACAGGAUUAGAAACCCUAGUAGUCC